RNAcentral lists this long non-coding RNA (880 nucleotides) under Theobroma cacao (cacao). RNAcentral describes it as "long non-coding RNA (TCAC_LNC002763)". The record is from RNAcentral. Lineage: Eukaryota; Viridiplantae; Streptophyta; Magnoliopsida; Malvales; Malvaceae.
CCUCAUGUCUUGCACGACUCCCCAUUAUCAUUGCUUUGCCUUCUGCAUUGCUAACUCAUCUUCCACAACCCACAGCGGCCCCCAACAUCACUCUGUUAAUUAAGCUUCAUCCUUGGGUAUGCAGGUGGGUUCCCUUUUGCUACAGUUCUGCAGAAAAAGAAAAAAAGUAGAGCUGGAUAUGUCAUUCUUUGUUGCUUAGAAAGGGGGGGAGAAAAGGGUUGAAUUCAAGCAUUCUUCUUUGCAUCCAGGCCAUACAAUAUUUCCUGGUCAAUUGGUUUUUCUACUUGAGGGGAUAUAUCACUUUUCAAAGGGAGUAUGUGCUUGUCCAAUUUUAGGGUAUAUUUCUAAGUAGAUAUAGCUCUGCUUCUAAAAUGUAACAAUACUUUCUAAGCAAUUCUAUUGACAAAUUUGAAUAAAUAGUUCCUUUUAAUUAUGCAUAAUUUGACAUAUCUUCUAUCCAGGCAUCUCACUUGGAAUAGAAAACACCCAUAUCUCCAAAUUGGUACUCAAGUUCAAGCUCUACAAGAAUAUGAAAAUUUUCUUUAAGCUUUUGUGUAACAAAAAGAAUGAAAGAAUGAAAGGAAAAAAAAAAUUGAACCAGAUACUUUGCCUUGAGGGAAGCAGAUGCCACCAACAUAUGAUUAUGAAGUGUGAUAUGAACUAAUAAAUUCAUGAAAAACCCAAUGAACGUCAAGAAAAUUGGCAUCCACGCGGAGUUAAUUACAAAGAUUAAUAACUAAUUGGGUCCAAUUAGGAUCUUCUCACUCUUAAAUACACUAAAAUUCACAAUCUGAAGUAAAGGCAAGUAGAAAAUUACUAGAAAAUAUAUAUAAGUAGUGGGAGGCCUCGAUAUCCCUUUCCUUGGGUGCCUUCCAAACAC